This is a long non-coding RNA of Salvia splendens (bonfire salvia), 1280 nucleotides long. RefSeq lists it as uncharacterized. The record is from RefSeq and is a predicted model, not a curated record. NCBI's taxonomy places the organism in Eukaryota, Viridiplantae, Streptophyta, Magnoliopsida, Lamiales, Lamiaceae. The transcript is spliced from 2 exons.
UAGAUUAGCAUAGAUGAUAGAUUUGCAGAUCCCUAAUCUGGAAUCAAGAAGCGGCUGCGGUUCUCCCCCUUCACUCUCCUUCUUCGCCGCCGGCCAGGUUUUCCGGCGUCCUCGCUCCCUCCGUCGAAUUUCCUCACAUCCAUGGGAAACUCUCUCUCAAAUGUCAUAUCUGUAAAUCCUAGAUCGGGGAAUCGAGAAGCAGCGACUCCGUCCUCGUCUCCGGCUGCCCGACGAACAGAUCCACCGCCGCCUGUCGCCGUUCUCCGCUGCCUCCUUCGCGAGGCAGCCACGACACUCACCGGCGACUCUCGCCGGCUCCCUCCGUCCAGCGCCGGUUCGUCGACACGCGGCGCUUCCAUCUCUCUCUCUUGCUUCGCACACCACUCUCUCUUCGACCGGUUCCGUCACUGUUUCACGGAGUCCGCACGGUGGCUCCAUUCGUUGCCGGCAGCCUCUCGUUUAAGCUAAGUCUAAUUUCUCAUUUUUCCUUGGUUAUUAGUGUUAAGCUUCUCAUCUUGGGUUUUGAGUUUCCAAGAUGAAGUCUUAGUAUGCAUAGCUCACUGGAUUGAGCAACAUCUUUGGUAUUUUGUAAAUUAUGAUGAGGUUAUACCUGGUUGAUUCUGAUUGUUACUGCCGUUGUUGAUGCUCAUCCUAUGUGCUACUUACUUAGGCCAUUGCUGUGAGGAUCCUAAUGAGCUUCUAUGUUCUUGGCUAUCUACUUGGUCUAUAUGAUGCGAUGGUGUGGUGUUGUGGUGACAGUGAAGAAAAGGGGCUGCCUUUGUUGUUACUCUCUGAUUUUGCUACUGUGAUGGGAGAAACUUAAGUAUAUAAACAAAGAGUAGUGUCCUUAGAAGGGAUUCAUGGCUGCUACUACAGCUUGGCUUUACAUUGCAGCAAAUCUCCUAUUUGAUCCAUUUUUGCAGCACUUAAAUUCAAAUUGCUUUGGUGUUCUUUGAUGGUACUUGGCAUUUAAACCUUUUGUUUGUUCUUGCAUAGAGUACAAAGAGAGUGCAGUGGUUGCCUUGAGGGAAAGGUCUUGUUCCUUUGGGAGGGAAAAGCAACUUGGCUGCCACAUUGCUGUUCGAGGCAUGGGCUCGUUGCCCUGGCCCGACGGGCUAAUCGGACACGAGCCGUGAUUUGGGCUUGAGUAACAAAGGCCCAAAGUGCAAGCAAUAAGGAUUUUUAAUUUCUUAAACUCCUUGGCCCAUUCAAGAGUAUUUGUAAUAGUAAUAUCCCCUAUUUCUUAAAACUUGUUUUAGUUGAUUCGAUUAUUACUCUAA